AUGGCGGCCGCGCAUGCGCCCUACCAUAAGCCCCUAUAAAGAUGACGCCCGUUGCUCGGGCCUGUCUCCGAGGAGAGACGCAGCCACAGGGUAUUAGAAGGGCUGGAUUUGGAGAGAGAAAACUCAAACCAAAACAUCACAUCAAGAUCUGACAGUCUCUCAAUUCACCAGGACGUGAAUGCCAUCAUUUUGGAAUGUGGAAGGAGAAAUGUUUGUCUGUUCUGCCUGUGGGAAAGGAUUUCAAACAUCAGUGUGACUGGAAAAGCACUGAGACACACACACACCCAAGUGAGAGUGUUCCAGUGAACUGACUGUGGAAAGAGCUUUAACCAGUUACACAGCCUGAAAAAAGCAUUGCACUAUUCAAGCGGGAAGAAACUGAACAUGUGUUUUGUGUGUGGAUGUGGCUUCAAUUGAUCAUCCAUCCUGCAGAGACUCAAGGACACCCGAACAAUGGAAAAACUGUGGAAAUGUGGUGACUGUGGGAAGGGAUUCAAUUACCUAUCCCAGCUGGAAAACCAUCAACGCAGUCACACUGGGGAGAGGCCGUUCACCUGCUCCGAGUGUGGGAAGGGAUUCAUUCAAUCAUUUGACAUGCUGAGACACCAGCGAGUUCACACUGGAGAGAGACCAUUCACCUGCUCCAAGUGUGGGGAAAGAUUCACUCAGUUAUCCAACCUGCAAACACAUCAACAGGUUCACGCUGGGGAGAGACCUUUCACUUGCCCUGUAUGUGGGUCCUCUGACCUGCUGAAGCACCAACAAAUUCACACUGGGGAGAGGCCAUUCAAGUUGUAGUUCCUGUGGAAAGAGAUUCAAGUUUUCUUCCAACCUGCUGAGACACUGGAGAGACCAUGCAGAUGCUCAACUGUGGGAAGAAAUUCACUCAGUCAUCCAACCUAAUGACGCACCAGAGGGUUCACACUAGGGAGAGGCGGUUCACCUGCUCCAAGUAUGAGAAGGGAUUCAUUCACUCAUCUCACUUGCUGAUGCACCAGUGAGUUCACAAGUGACUGCAGGGAUUGGAUUCUGCUGUUAUUGCUGCUUUUAACCACAGCCAGGUCUGAACCAUGUUCAAUUUUACAGUUGGGGUUUGUCUCUGUUGAUGUUAGCAAUCCCAGUAACUGGGCUUUAGUUUAAUAUUCUGGAUCUGUGUUCUUGUGGCUGCAGUGUCUCUUUAAGAAUGGCUGUCACUGAUCUUUCCCCAUAAUUCAGGGACUCUCAUAAGAAAUUAGUUUACAACAAGAUUCUGAACUUUUACUUCAAUCUUAAAUUAUCUUUGGUAUGAACUCAACAAUUCAGUAUCUGAGAGGUUCUGCUGAUUAACAUCUCCAAUUAGAAAGUGCUGAUUAAUCCUUGCUGACAAUUCCUACUGACUUGCACAUUACUCACAGCGACACCUCCAUUAUUCACCAGAAAGAAGGGGAAUGGGAAUUGGGGGAGAAUCGAAAGUUCCCAAAUGUUACCACUCCUGCCUAGUACAGAAAUCCCCUCAGCACGGGAAUGGAGACAAGUUAAAUCCAAGUAAAGGAAUGCAAGAAAUCGCUUAAUAAUACUCCUAUGAAAUAUUCAGAAAUUUAGGGAAUAUUAUAAAAAUAACUCACUCUCUCUUAUAAAGAAAGCUUCCAUAGCAGUUUGCUGGCUGACAAACACAGGACAGGCCUGUUCUCUCUGCCAAGGACAUGUCUCUAGCACAGGCCCUGAAACAAGACAUUUCUAACCCUGAUAUGAUUGGAUCUCAUGACCCUUACGUAAACCAACUGUCUAUGUAAAGGUUAAAACAGGCUCUCGAGAGCACAGAUAUAUUGACGUGAUCCACACUGGCUGCAGCCUAACACCCACACUGUGGCUCACACCAGUUAACCAUUCAGAGGAGACUGACACCACCAGCGACAGAGACCAGCACUCACUCUGCGUCAUCCGUCAGUUUGUCCUCCAGGACCGGUAAACUGUUCUCAACUGUCACAGGUCAUGUGUUUUCCUGUCUAUUUAGCUUAUGCAUCAUGUUUAAACUGUUACUUCUCAAUAAAUUACUUUAAAAUCA
Molecule: long non-coding RNA, 2044 nt
Organism: Carcharodon carcharias (great white shark)
Lineage: Eukaryota; Metazoa; Chordata; Chondrichthyes; Lamniformes; Lamnidae
Exons: 2
Source: RefSeq, a predicted model, not a curated record